Molecule: ribosomal RNA, 213 nt
Filed under: Bacillus thuringiensis serovar yunnanensis
Lineage: Bacteria; Bacillati; Bacillota; Bacilli; Caryophanales; Bacillaceae
Description: partial 16S ribosomal RNA
Rfam family: Bacterial small subunit ribosomal RNA
Source: RNAcentral
UUUAUUGGAGAGUUUGAUCCUGGCUCAGGAUGAACGCUGGCGGCGUGCCUAAUACAUGCAAGUCGAGCGAAUGGAUUGAGAGCUUGCUCUUAUGAAGUUAGCGGCGGACGGGUGAGUAACACGUGGGUAACCUACCCAUAAGACUGGGAUAACUCCGGGAAACCGGGGCUAAUACCGGAUAACAUUUUGAACUGCAUGGUUCGAAAUUGAAAG